AGAAGGCUAAGCGCGGGUUCUAAGCCUCAUGAACCUUUUUUGAAAAUUUUGACAACUUUCGGCUAGAUUGGUUUAGUGGCUCAUGAUUUUUGGGAAAGAAAUAAAUAUAAUAUAAAUGGGAUUUCUAUUGAAGGAAAUAUGGAGAGAACAAAAAAAAAACAGAGUUUUUGGGAGAGGGAGUGUUUAUAGGAAAAAAAAAUAGAUGUCAAAUAUGUGCCACUCCAUCCCCUAUUUAUAGUACUAGAAAACCUAGUCUAUUCCUAAUGAAAUUCUAAAAGAUAAAUACAAAUAAAUAAAAAUAAUUAAAGAUAAAUAAAGAUAAAUGAAAAUAAAUCCUAAAAUUUAAAUCUAAAUAAAAAUCUUUAAUAAUUAUCCUAAUAUAAUUGAAAUUAAAAUAGAGUCUUGUGCUAUAAAAUCUCUUCUUUUGCAUUGUAGUCCUUGGGUCUUCCAUGUUUGCAUUUUUGGCACAACUUCUUUCUUUCUUUGCAUGUUGGCCCAUUAUAUCUUCAAAUUUGUACUUAUUGCCCUUAAAUUUCCUCUUGCCUCCAAUUUAAUCCCUAAAAGAUAAAAGACCAUAAAUAGCCCAAAUUAGUAGCAUCAUACUCAAAAUAAAUAUAUAAUUAGCACAUAAAAAUAUGACGUUCUAGAGUAUUAUCAAGAAGUAAGAAAAUGAAGACAACAAUGGUGAAGAAAAAUAGGAGGGGCGACACAAUGAUGCAAAAAUUAGGGUUUUAUGGCUGCAUAGUGAAAAAAGGGAAAAGAACUAAAGGAAAGAGAGUAAGAAAAAAGGGUGGGACGGCAAUAGGAAAGCAAACUAUGAGUGAAAGAGGCUAAAAACAAAUAAAAAUAUGUUAUAUACUAAGGUUUGAAAGCAUGGGGUGGCAACUACUAAAAUUUUGGGCAAAGAUACAAAAAAAAAAUUAUGUAGGAGAGGGGAAUCAAACACAAGUUUCAGGGAUAAUUUCACUAACUCUUAACCAUCUAGCCAGUAACUCAAUCUUGAUACAGUCAUGCAAAGUUAACAGUAAAAAUUCAGGAUGUGACAAAUGAUCUUAGCCUUUAGAUCAAAAUAAAUGGUUCUGAGUUAUAGAUUCUAUAGUUAUCUUACUUUAUCAACAUAUAAC
RNAcentral lists this long non-coding RNA (1124 nucleotides) under Gossypium barbadense (sea-island cotton). RNAcentral's name for it is "long non-coding RNA (GBAR_LNC011162)". The record is from RNAcentral. Lineage: Eukaryota; Viridiplantae; Streptophyta; Magnoliopsida; Malvales; Malvaceae.